This 494-nucleotide ribosomal RNA is filed under the name uncultured bacterium. RNAcentral describes it as "partial 16S ribosomal RNA". It matches the Rfam family "Bacterial small subunit ribosomal RNA", at positions 28 to 507 of the family's 1533-position model. The record is from RNAcentral.
GACGAACGCUGGCGGCGCGCUUAACACAUGCAAGUCGAACGGAAAGGCCUGCUUUCCCUUGUGGAUUGCGGGUACUCGAGUGGCGAACGGGUGAGUAACACGUGAGUGAUCUGCCCCCAACUUGGGUAUAAGCCUGGGAAACUGGGUCUAAUUCCCGAUAGUACUGCAGGGUGGUGCCUGUGGUGGAAAACGAUUUUCUAGUGGUUGGGGAUGAGCUCGCGGCCUAUCAGCUUGUUGGUGGGGUAAUGGCCUACCAAGGCGGCGACGGGUAGCCGGCCUGAGAGGGUGGACGGCCACAUUGGGACUGAGAUACGGCCCAGACUCCUACGGGAGGCAGCAGUGGGGAAUAGUGCACAAUGGGCGGAAGCCUGAUGCAGCGACGCCGCGUGGGGGAUGACGGCCUUCGGGUUGUAAACUCCUUUCGACCGCGAGGAAGCCACCUGGUUGGAAGGGUGGUGACGGUAGUGGUAGAAGAAGCACCGGCUAACUACGUG